Marmota monax (woodchuck) is the source of this 1049-nucleotide long non-coding RNA. RefSeq lists it as uncharacterized. Lineage: Eukaryota; Metazoa; Chordata; Mammalia; Rodentia; Sciuridae. The transcript is spliced from 4 exons. The record is from RefSeq and is a predicted model, not a curated record.
GGGCUACGUAAGGACGUCAAGGCGCGCGGUGGCGUGGACGGCAGUAUUUGUGGCUGGUGAUGCGGUUUCUGGGUCUUUGCGAUCCCUUCCUCGGUCCCUUCAGUAUCCGCUGUCAUCGAAGACCCCAGGCAGCUUGCGCUCUUUGAUGAGGCCGGGUUAAGAGUCUUGGGGUUGCUGUUCAGCGGUAGGAGGCCGGGCCCUCCCCACAAGUGCUGGUCCCUCGCGAGGGCCCUGGAGGAGACUCCUGUACUGCGGGGCGACUUGUGCCUUUCUUCUGCGGGUCUCGCUCCCGAAGAAAAACGGGGUUUCUUCUGUGUAACCUAGAGGGCACCGCUAAGCGGGAUGGAACCUGUGACCUCUAGGGACCUCACUGGGGAUGGGGCCUAUGACCUUAAGCCCACCCCUGGGUUGGGACCUGUGACCUCGUGGGAGACCCGCUUCAAAAGGCAGGAGUCGUGAUCAGAUGACCGAUCCCACAAAGUGGGAGAAGAGCUUACAGCCACAGCAGCUCUUCAGGAAGAUGUCAUGGCUACCUUGUUAGCUGCAAGGAGGAGCAUCAUAGACGUUCCAGUUCCUAACAACUUCUACUUCCUGUGUCUCUGGCCCAGCAUGUAGCAGAAGGCUACCUGCUGUUCCUUGGUGUUUCAGCAGCAGUGAUCCCAGGAUGCCAGAGCUGAAUCCCUUCUGUAGCUACUAGGCUAGUCUGUGGCACCUGUGCAGUAUGACAUGGAUACUGAAAAUGAGAAGUAAGGCCUGGCUGACCUGACCAUGUUGACAUCUAGUGCGAAGUGAAGCAGAAUUUGUACCUUAAUUGAGCAGAUUUGAAGCCUCGUGUACUUCUGUUUUUUUUUUUUCCCUCAUGUACUUCUAAAAGGGUUCAGCAGUAUCUUGUUCUUGGCCUGGGCUAUGUGUCUGAGAGAAUUUUCUGGGUCCAGGUUUGGGCCCCAUUUUUUUCUGCCUCUAGAAUAAGCCUGGCUGAAGGGCCUCAGGCCCUUCUGGCAUCUCCCAAAUGAAAAAUGAGAUAUUCAAUAAACAUGGUUUUAAAUGUG